RNAcentral lists this ribosomal RNA (1074 nucleotides) under uncultured bacterium. RNAcentral describes it as "bacterial SSU rRNA". It matches the Rfam family "Bacterial small subunit ribosomal RNA", at positions 400 to 1482 of the family's 1533-position model. The record is from RNAcentral.
CGUGAGGGACGACGGCCUUCGGGUUGUAAACCUCUUUUAGCAGGGAAGAAGCGAAAGUGACGGUACCUGCAGAAAAAGCGCCGGCUAACUACGUGCCAGCAGCCGCGGUAAUACGUAGGGCGCAAGCGUUAUCCGGAAUUAUUGGGCGUAAAGAGCUCGUAGGCGGUCUGUCGCGUCUGCUGUGAAAACCCGAGGCUCAACCUCGGGCCUGCAGUGGGUACGGGCAGACUAGAGUGCGGUAGGGGAGAUUGGAAUUCCUGGUGUAGCGGUGGAAUGCGCAGAUAUCAGGGGGAACACCGAUGGCGAAGGCAGAUCUCUGGGCCGUAACUGACGCUGAGGAGCGAAAGGGUGGGGAGCAAACAGGCUUAGAUACCCUGGUAGUCCACCCCGUAAACGUUGGGAACUAGUUGUGGGGACCAUUCCACGGCCUCCGUGACGUAGCUAACGCAUUAAGUUCCCCGCCUGGGGAGUACGGCCGCAAGGCUAAAACUCAAAGGAAUUGACGGGGACCCGCACAAGCGGCGGAGCAUGCGGAUUAAUUCGAUGCAACGCGAAGAACCUUACCAAGGCUUGACAUACACGAGAACGCCCUAGAAAUAGGGAACUCUUUGGACACUCGUGAACAGGUGGUGCAUGGUUGUCGUCAGCUCGUGUCGUGAGAUGUUGGGUUAAGUCCCGCAACGAGCGCAACCCUCGUUCUAUGUUGCCAGCACGUAAUGGUGGGAACUCAUGGGAUACUGCCGGGGUCAACUCGGAGGAAGGUGGGGAUGACGUCAAAUCAUCAUGCCCCUUAUGUCUUGGGCUUCACGCAUGCUACAAUGGCCGGUACAAAGGGCUGCAAUACCGUAAGGUGGAGCGAAUCCCAAAAAGCCGGUCCCAGUUCGGAUUGAGGUCUGCAACUCGACCUCACGAAGUCGGAGUCGCUAGUAAUCGCAGAUCAGCAACGCUGCGGUGAAUACGUUCCCGGGUCUUGUACACACCGCCCGUCAAGUCAUGAAAGUCGGUAACACCUGAAGCCGGUGGCCCAACCCUUGUGGAGGGAGCCGUCGAAGGUGGGAUCGGUAAUUAGGAACU